This 338-nucleotide long non-coding RNA is filed under the name Homo sapiens (human). RNAcentral describes it as "non-protein coding lnc-KIAA0930-4:2". The record is from RNAcentral. Lineage: Eukaryota; Metazoa; Chordata; Mammalia; Primates; Hominidae.
GCCCGGGCCAAAGUGAGCGCAAAGUGCUGCCCAAGUUGCCGGGAUGGAGCUGCAGAGCCGGCCCGAGGCGCUCGCCGUGGAACUCGCGCGCCACCAGAACGGCGACCUCAAGAAGCAGCUCCACGAAAGGCAGCCGCGGAUCGCCGCGCUCAGCGACAAACAAAUCGCGGGCAGAACCUCUCAUCUGUGCACAAGGGACCCAGCACGGGGCUUUGGGAACGAUCACUGCAGUGCCUGUCACGGGUCCUCAGGUCAGCUCCUUGCAGAGGUUGGCCGGGCAAGGAGCGGCAGUGCUACCUCAGGUUAGGCCAAAGACUCUGAUUCCAGACAGCCUCCCC